AGUUUCAGAGUGAUAUGAGAUGAAAUAUAGCUAGAAAAGAGGGUUGAGAAGACGAGAACACAAAAGGGAAGAGAGGGAGAGAGAGUGAAGGGGGGCUGGGCAAGUAGAGAAGAAGAUAAGUGAAAGCUAGGAUGUUUCAACACCGAAAUUUUUUCUUGGUCGAAAAUCCUUGAUUACCCCAAAAAAAAAAGAUCACUUGUUCUAUAAGAUCAAAUACAUCGGUAUUUCUGAAAAACCCAGUGAGCCAGACUCAAUUAUGCGUGGUUUUUGGUGAUAUGAGAGAUGAGAUAAACUUUCUGAUUACAAGUGAUUUGUUAUUAGAAAGGCAAAGAAAGAGAUGGAUAGAAAUAGAGAAGCAAGAAGAGUGGGUAUGGCAGCUAGUAAUGGUUUGUCUAGAAGAAGACACAGAAGUAGCAGCCUAAGAGACUCUCCAGAAGAUGAUGGACCAGUGGAGUUGCAAGAAACAACGAAGCUGCGAGAUCGAAGAAAGGAUCGAGAUCGAGAUCGGGAUCGGGAUCGGGAUAGAGACAGGGACCGGGACCGGGACCGUGAGAAAGACCGAGAUAGAGAUCGUAUUAGCGGCAGGAGUAAGAGGAGGAGAGGGGAGAGACUGAUGCACGGGAGCAAUAAGGAAGAUGGAGAGCGAGACGAGACCUCAGACGAAGAGAGCGUUAAUGAUGACGAAGAUGAAGAUGACGAUGAUGCGGUUGGUGUUGCAGGAAGUUCCAUGAGGAUGCUCCCACCGAACCCUUCUUCUUUAUCUUCUUCUUCUAUGUCUAAUCAUCAUCAUAGGAAGAGCUUUCCGCCGCAGGCAAAAGUUUUUAGAGCCGCGCCGACGAUGACGAAUACCACUGCUGCAGUUACACCGUGGAAGGCUACUGAUGAGAUGAUUGGUGUGUCGGUUCCUAGAAAAGCUCGGUCAGCAUCUACAAAGAGGUCACAUGAAUGUUGGACUUCAAGUGGUGGAGUUGGUAGUGAGCAAAUUCACCGUCAAGCUUCAAUAUCUCCGGUAAGAUCGAGUGGACCAGCUAUGUUAGCUUCAGCUUCAGCUUCUCCGGCGGCUCCUGUCUCUCCUCCAUCAUCUUCCAAUGCUUCAGUGAAAAAGAAGAUGAAACCUAAUGGACCGAAACAGAGACCUCCUAAAUCUUCUUCAAAAUCUACUUCUGCACAAGAUGAGAUUGAGUUUGAGAUCGCUGAGGUGUUAUAUGGGUUGCUGAGGCAACCUCAAGGAGCUACAAAGCAAGAAAUCAUGGGAAAUGAUUCGAUCAAGUUUGAUUUCAGAGAAGCGAACCACAAUAAAACUACCAGUGAUGCUAAAUCCAGAGUUUCCUCACCGAUCUCCAACUCACAGUCCACUGUUCCUCAGCCAUCUUCUAUCCCACCAUCUAAUUCUAGUUCUUCUGCUGCUCCCAUGUCUGCAAUUGCACCUAAGAGGAAAAGACCGCGCCCAGUCAAGUAUGAUGACGAGCAUCCCACAAACUUUCCUGCUCGUAAUAGUUCCAUUUUGUCAAUAGCCAAGGUUGACGUUGAUCAGCCUGCAAGAAUUGAUUCUUCUAAUUUAGAGAACUCGGGAUCUGCAGCGGAAAAUGGUGGAGUUUCACAUGAUUUAUUGGCUAAUCAAGCUGCUCCCGCAAUGACAGAGGCGCAGCUGCAGGAGGCGGUUAAGCUGGAGAAUCAUCCGAUAUCGGAUUCUAAGCCCACGACUGAAGAAUCAGAAUGUAGAGAUUUGGGUGGACUGAUAGAAGAAACACGGUCUCCGAAGAAGGAAUCUACUCCUAGUCUUAGAUUGGGUGAUGAUUGCGAGAGUUUGACAGCAAAUAAAGCGAAUUUGAUGGUCUCUGAGAUUGAUAGUCAGCGAGAAGAGAAGUUUCAGAUAGAUCUGAUGGCUCCUCCUCCAUCAAGGUCAUCUCCAGAAAGGGACAGUGAGAUUGAUUUUGUGGCCGUAGAUCCUAAAUCUAUGGUCACAUAUGGGGAAACGGAAAAGAAGCCUGUGAUGGUCAAAGAAGAUGAGAAAGCAUUGAAAGUUGUAAAGGAAGAUAUAAAUGUGGAACCUGUAGAGAAAAAGACAAAAGUUAUUGGCGAACAAGUUGAAUCCCAGAAGCCAAUUGUUAAUAAAGAGAGGAAUAUUGAUCUCCAGCUUGAUCCAGGGAAGGGUGAUAGAGAUAGCGCCACUGUUACUAUAAGUAGAAAUAAGCUGCUUCAGCAUGUGCAGCAGCAGCAGCAACCCAACACAGAGAAAAUUGCGCAAUCCAGUUCUUUACCUUUGCCAAUGUCCAUGACUGGCUGGCCCGGUGGGCUUCCUCACAUGGGAUAUAUGGCACCUCUACAAGGAGUUGUAUCCAUGGAUGGAAGCACUGUGUCUUCUGCAGCCAUACAGCCUCCUCAUUUAAUUUUUAGCCAACCACGGCCAAAAAGGUGUGCAACACAUUGCUACAUUGCAAGGAAUAUUCAUUGUUACCAGCAAUUUACAAGGAUGAAUCCUUUCUGGCCACCAGCUGCUGGUUCUGCUUUACAAUAUGGGGCUAAAGCGUGCAAUAUGAAUGUGGUGCCAUCCGCUGACUUGCAUGCAGGUAGAGGUGUGAAUUCUGCGCAAGAAAAGGGACAGAGUCUUGCCAUUUUUCCUGGUCCCUGUGGGAAGGAGAAGAAUUCUCAAGGUGCCAACAUUGCAGAAGCUGCACAGAGAAAGCAGAUUUUGCUCCAGCAAGCCCUGCCGCCAGGUGCUCCUAGUAAUAUCAUGCAUGGACCCACUUUCAUCUUCCCAUUGAAUCAACAACAAGCUGCUGUUGCUGCUGCUGCAGCAGCAGCAGCAGCUUCUGUCCGACCUGGAAGUGUGAAGUCUCCUCCUGCUGCAGGCAGUGUGGCCUCUUCAAGUGUCUCAAGUUCUGCUUCAAUGAGUUCCACAGCAUCAGCUAUAGCUGGUCCUACACCAAUGAGCUUCAACUACCCGAAUCUCCCAGGCAAUGAAACCCAAUACUUGGCAAUUAUGCAGAAUGGAGCGUUCCCGAUUCCCAUACCUGCUCAUGUUGGGGCCGCAGCAGCUUAUAGAGGAACCCAUCCUCAGGCAAUGCCUUUGUUUAAUGGAUCGUUUUAUUCUUCUCAAAUGCUCCAUCCUUCACAGCUUCAGCAGCAGCAGCCAUCCACUAAGACACAACAAAGCCAACAAGGCCAUCAAAAUCCGAGCAUUACCAGUGGUUCCUCAUCAUCCCAGAAGCAUUUGCAGAAUCAGCAGCAGAGAUUGUAUGGCAGUGGAGUUGGUGGAGAUGGCGGAAAUCUGCAAGGUUUUCCUGGCCCUAAAAACCAGCUGCCCCAUUCCCUGCCAAACCAGCAACGGCAGCAGAUGCAAAAUCAGAAUGUUUCUCACCAAGCUCGUCAACUCGAGAGUGAAUUUGGUGGUGAAGACAGCCCUUCAACUGCUGACAGUCAAGUCUCCCGUCCAAAUAUGAGUCAUUAUGGCCAGAAUUUAAUGCCAAUACAUCCAGCAAACUUUGCUUUGAUGAAUCCCACACCGAUGAGUGGUGCCCAUAGUGCAAGUGGCAAUACUAGUGAAAAGAAACCCCAGCAACCACAAACACAGAUCUCUAAGGCUGGGGCUGAACCUUCAACCUCUCAGGCUUUUGCCAUGUCAUUUACUUCCAUCAAUGGAACCACUGCUUCCCCGGGACUUGAUUUUUCAUCAAUUGCACAUGAUCAUGCUCUUCUACAAAGCCUCCCAGAGGCAGCAAGGCAUGGAUAUCACUUAAUUGCUGCUGCCCAAGCAGCACAGCAGAAGAAGAAUUACCGUGUUUCUGAAGAAGGGAAAACUGGAGGAAAUGACACUUCUAACGUGGAAGAAGAGAGGAAGGCCAUUGCAGGAGUAAAGGCUCCAUUAACUGCUGGGCAGUCAAUUGUGUUCUCUCGGGCAGAUUUAACGGACUCCCCCAUUUCAACAAUGCCAGUCAACAAUGUCAUUGAUAGCUCAGCCCGAACUCUUAACCUUGGGACUACUCCUGCUCGGACCUCUGGCUCUGUUAUGUCAGCUACUAUCAGUGGUGCAAAUGCACCAAGUAUACAGCAGCAGAUGCAGCGGAAUCAGCAGCAGCAGCAGCAGCAGCAGCAAAUUCUUCAGCUUCAGAAGCAGCAGCACCAAUUUGUGGCUGCAGCUUCCUCUCGUAGUAAAACCCCAGCAACUAGCAAUGGAAGUGCUUAUCCCGAUCAUAUUUCAUCAUCAUCAGCCAUGGCCACCAAGUUCCCUAAUCCACUUUCUGCUUUUCCUCAAAAUUUUGUUCAAAACAGCAGUAGCCCUGCUCAAUCACCCCAGUGGAAAAAUUCCGUGAGGACCACCACCUCUCAAGUUCCUUCUCCAUCUCUAACCCCAGCUUCACCAACCCUCAAAAAUCUUCCCCAACAACAAGGCCGAACACAAGGAGGUCACACACAGAUAUCUUUUGCGGCUAACCAAAAACCAUCUGCUUCGCCACAAGGGCAACCAAAUCCCAGCAGUAACCAAUCCCCAUCUCCUCCGAUGAUGGUUGGUUCUCCCACAACAUCAAUUUCUAAGAGUGCAGGUGGAAGUCCGAGGACAUCCGCUUCCACGGGUAACAAAGGUGGUCAAUCUUCUACGUUAUCAUCUCAACAAUCCAACUCUGCAUCAGUACCUGUGCAAAAAUCGUCUCCAGUUGGGGGAAGAAAUGUUCCAUCAAUCCUUGGUCAUCCUCACAACACCUCUUCAUCUAACUCUGGUACAAAGCCUCAAAUGUCACAUCAACAGCCGCUAUCAAAGCAUGCACUCCAACAGGCUCAGGCUCAGCUAAUGUACACUAAUGGUUAUAUGCAAGCUCAUGCGGCAAGUUCAACAAAUACUACACCAGCGGGUGGUGGGUUUUAUCUCCAAAGACACCGUAGUGAUCAGCAGCAGCAGCAAUCACAAGGCACUUCAGCUACCUCCUCUACAGGGAUGUUGUCAUUAUGUCCUCCAGUCACACUUGCCUUUACCAGUAGUACUGAUCCUGCAAAGGCAGCUGCUAACAAUAUGAAAGGAGGUGGCUUACCUUCACAGGGUCUUAUCCAUGCCCAAUUUGCUGCUGCACAUCCCGCUGGAAAGCCGCAUCAGAUUUUACCUGCUGGCUUCUCUUAUGUUCAUCCUGUUCCCACUGUGGUUCAGGUGAAACCGGCAGAGAAGAAACAACCUGCUGGCGAAUAGAAUCAUGUGCCUGGUGCUUUAGAUGGCAACCUGCGGAUCGGAGAAGAUUGAAAAAGACUAGUAGAUUGGUUUGAUUGGGGAUUUUUCAAUUUAUGAAGGGAAAGCAAUUAACAAGCCAAGGAAAUGACAUUUUGAAUGCCUUCUGGCAGAAUGAAGGGGUGAGAAAUGUUCAAGGAAGCACGCCAUGUGGAUCCGAACCCAAAUUUUGGUAAAAUGAAGUUGAACCAAUGGGGGCAGUAAUGUUGUCUGCUGACUGGACUUGCUCGCCGUGCGUAUUAUCUCUCUCUGUACACCUGUGUCUAUAGGCUGACAGGGUUGAUGGUCAGGUCUAGUUAAAUUUGAUUGGUUUGAUGACGAGAGGCUGGGAAUGAAAAGACAUGGGAAAAGAUUGGUUCAAGUGUUUUUGUAGAGAAAAAGAGGAAAGAUGGACGUGGAAAGGUGAAGAAAAAGAACUACCUUUCCCUCUCAUGGAUACACCGGCGCACCUUGCCUGAGGAAGGUUCAAACUUGAAAACAAGAGCUCCGAUUUUGGCUUGCAAUUAUUUGGUUUUUCACUUAUUAGUGUAGUGUCCAUGUUGCAUAAAACCCUACUUUGCCUUUGCGAAAUCGUGAAGUACUACCACGUCAUCUCUUGACCCUUGAAAAGGGGUUUGUCACUUUAUGGUCUUUGUCUUGCACGUUGCCGUUGCCGUUGCCGUUGCCGAUUCUUGUGGAUUGAAUGUGAUGACGUUAUCUCUCACAAUGUAUUGCUCUGUAAUUGUCUUUAUUUGUUUGUUCUUUCUUUGUUGUUUUUUCAGAGGGGUGCUCUGUGGCAUGUAGUUAUCUUUGCGGUAAAAUUAAAAGGAGGAAGCAUGUACGAGAUUUAGUUAUGUCUGCAGGUGCUUAAGAUUGUAGGAGGAUCGAUUUUUAAAAGUAUUUUUUAUUUAAAAAUACAUUAAAAUAAUAUUUUUUUAAUAUUUAUGUCUUA
RNA transcript from Populus trichocarpa (black cottonwood), 6146 nucleotides. It is a transcript of the gene named protein TIME FOR COFFEE, with no coding region annotated. Lineage: Eukaryota; Viridiplantae; Streptophyta; Magnoliopsida; Malpighiales; Salicaceae. The transcript has 13 exons. The record is from RefSeq and is a predicted model, not a curated record.